RNAcentral lists this unclassified non-coding RNA (199 nucleotides) under soil metagenome. RNAcentral's name for it is "partial internal transcribed spacer 1". The record is from RNAcentral.
CCGAGUUUACAACUCCCAAACCUAAUGUGAACGUUACCAAACUGUUGCCUCGGCGGGAUCUCUGCCCCGGGUGCGUCGCAGCCCCGGACCAAGGCGCCCGCCGGAGGACCAACCAAAACUCUUAUUGUAUACCCCCUCGCGGGUUUUUUACUAUCUGAGCCAUCUCGGCGCCCCUCGUGGGCGUUUCGAAAAUGAAUCA